UUCUCGCGGAAGUUGAAGAAAGAAGAGGGGUCAGCCAAGUAUGGUGCAUGCGUCGACCGGGGCGCUUAUAAGAGCAAAUGCUUCGCAUACAGCGGUAUGUUAUUUCUCAAGGACCGGAAUAAGACUGCACCGACAGUAGACACCGAGGAUACACGCAAGCCCCAGACGGCCACGUCGGCCGAAAUGGUGACCAGGAACAGGAACAACAAAGUCAAGAACCAGAAAACGAUGUAAAAGUACAUCAUCAAAAUCAACGCUUCUCCAAAAUUUUGAGCCUCCAAAAAAGAAUAUUGCCUUUCCAAGGCGGAAAAAGAUGAAUACACCGAUAGUUGCUUGUCGUGCUGCUUCGGAGAUGAACGUACCUCUUUUGAACGCUUGAAGAGACAAGGAUUCUAAACGGACUUUUGUGGAAAAUGAGUUCAUCAACAGGAAGAAAGCUCUCAAGAGAUUUCAGGCACGUAGAGUGAUAAAUUUCCACAGGGUUGCAUUGAAUGCUUUUAACAGUUGUGAAACAGGGAGCCUCGUGUCGGCCUGCGUACAAGGGAGGAAGAGCGACAUGAAAGCGGCAACAAAAGCACUUGUAACGAAUAUCGUCUCUGCAAUAUCUAGCUUGCCAGGGGUUGGCAAUAUCUGACGAUGAUGACAAAGAAAGCAAUCUGCAACAGCUCUUUGAGCAAAUUACAUACUGGAGGUGAAGUCAUGGCUCCGCCGCACGAAAUUCGAGUGGAUUUCGCACGACAUUUUCAACGAAGAGUAGGAAAUAAUGGCUCAAGAUGUACUACGUUUCCUGACAGAUGAAA
Ornithodoros turicata is the source of this 800-nucleotide long non-coding RNA. RefSeq lists it as uncharacterized. The transcript is spliced from 3 exons. NCBI's taxonomy places the organism in Eukaryota, Metazoa, Arthropoda, Arachnida, Ixodida, Argasidae. The record is from RefSeq and is a predicted model, not a curated record.